UUAAGUUAUUAAGGGCGCACGGUGGAUGCCUUGGCACUAGAAGCCGAUGAAGGACGUUACUAACGACGAUAUGCUUUGGGGAGCUGUAAGUAAGCUUUGAUCCAGAGAUUUCCGAAUGGGGAAACCCAGCAUGAGUUAUGUCAUGUUAUCGAUAUGUGAAUACAUAGCAUAUCAGAAGGCACACCCGGAGAACUGAAACAUCUUAGUACCCGGAGGAAGAGAAAGAAAAUUCGAUUCCCUUAGUAGCGGCGAGCGAAACGGGAAGAGCCCAAACCAACAAGCUUGCUUGUUGGGGUUGUAGGACACUCUAUACGGAGUUACAAAGGACGACAUUAGACGAAUCAUCUGGAAAGAUGAAUCAAAGAAGGUAAUAAUCCUGUAGUCGAAAAUGUUGUCUCUCUUGAGUGGAUCCUGAGUACGACGGAGCACGUGAAAUUCCGUCGGAAUCUGGGAGGACCAUCUCCUAAGGCUAAAUACUCUCUAGUGACCGAUAGUGAACCAGUACCGUGAGGGAAAGGUGAAAAGCACCCCGGAAGGGGAGUGAAAUAGAACCUGAAACCGUGUGCUUACAAGUAGUCAGAGCCCGUUAAUGGGUGAUGGCGUGCCUUUUGUAGAAUGAACCGGCGAGUUACGAUUUGAUGCAAGGUUAAGCAGUAAAUGUGGAGCCGUAGCGAAAGCGAGUCUGAAUAGGGCGUUUAGUAUUUGGUCGUAGACCCGAAACCAGGUGAUCUACCCUUGGUCAGGUUGAAGUUCAGGUAACACUGAAUGGAGGACCGAACCGACUUACGUUGAAAAGUGAGCGGAUGAACUGAGGGUAGCGGAGAAAUUCCAAUCGAACCUGGAGAUAGCUGGUUCUCUCCGAAAUAGCUUUAGGGCUAGCCUCAAGUGAUGAUUAUUGGAGGUAGAGCACUGUUUGGACGAGGGGCCCCUCUCGGGUUACCGAAUUCAGACAAACUCCGAAUGCCAAUUAAUUUAACUUGGGAGUCAGAACAUGGGUGAUAAGGUCCGUGUUCGAAAGGGAAACAGCCCAGACCACCAGCUAAGGUCCCAAAAUAUAUGUUAAGUGGAAAAGGAUGUGGCGUUGCCCAGACAACUAGGAUGUUGGCUUAGAAGCAGCCAUCAUUUAAAGAGUGCGUAAUAGCUCACUAGUCGAGUGACACUGCGCCGAAAAUGUACCGGGGCUAAACAUAUUACCGAAGCUGUGGAUUGUCCUUUGGACAAUGGUAGGAGAGCGUUCUAAGGGCGUUGAAGCAUGAUCGUAAGGACAUGUGGAGCGCUUAGAAGUGAGAAUGCCGGUGUGAGUAGCGAAAGACGGGUGAGAAUCCCGUCCACCGAUUGACUAAGGUUUCCAGAGGAAGGCUCGUCCGCUCUGGGUUAGUCGGGUCCUAAGCUGAGGCCGACAGGCGUAGGCGAUGGAUAACAGGUUGAUAUUCCUGUACCACCUAUAAUCGUUUUAAUCGAUGGGGGGACGCAGUAGGAUAGGCGAAGCGUGCGAUUGGAUUGCACGUCUAAGCAGUAAGGCUGAGUAUUAGGCAAAUCCGGUACUCAUUAAGGCUGAGCUGUGAUGGGGAGAAGACAUUGUGUCUUCGAGUCGUUGAUUUCACACUGCCGAGAAAAGCCUCUAGAUAGAAAAUAGGUGCCCGUACCGCAAACCGACACAGGUAGUCAAGAUGAGAAUUCUAAGGUGAGCGAGCGAACUCUCGUUAAGGAACUCGGCAAAAUGACCCCGUAACUUCGGGAGAAGGGGUGCUCUUUAGGGUUAACGCCCAGAAGAGCCGCAGUGAAUAGGCCCAAGCGACUGUUUAUCAAAAACACAGGUCUCUGCUAAACCGUAAGGUGAUGUAUAGGGGCUGACGCCUGCCCGGUGCUGGAAGGUUAAGAGGAGUGGUUAGCUUCUGCGAAGCUACGAAUCGAAGCCCCAGUAAACGGCGGCCGUAACUAUAACGGUCCUAAGGUAGCGAAAUUCCUUGUCGGGUAAGUUCCGACCCGCACGAAAGGCGUAACGAUUUGGGCACUGUCUCAACGAGAGACUCGGUGAAAUCAUAGUACCUGUGAAGAUGCAGGUUACCCGCGACAGGACGGAAAGACCCCGUGGAGCUUUACUGUAGCCUGAUAUUGAAAUUCGGCACAGCUUGUACAGGAUAGGUAGGAGCCUUUGAAACGUGAGCGCUAGCUUACGUGGAGGCGCUGGUGGGAUACUACCCUAGCUGUGUUGGCUUUCUAACCCGCACCACUUAUCGUGGUGGGAGACAGUGUCAGGCGGGCAGUUUGACUGGGGCGGUCGCCUCCUAAAAGGUAACGGAGGCGCUCAAAGGUUCCCUCAGAAUGGUUGGAAAUCAUUCAUAGAGUGUAAAGGCAUAAGGGAGCUUGACUGCGAGACCUACAAGUCGAGCAGGGUCGAAAGACGGACU
RNAcentral lists this ribosomal RNA (2411 nucleotides) under Staphylococcus aureus VET1468S. Its description in RNAcentral is "bacterial LSU rRNA". It matches the Rfam family "Bacterial large subunit ribosomal RNA", at positions 3 to 2412 of the family's 2925-position model. The record is from RNAcentral. Lineage: Bacteria; Bacillati; Bacillota; Bacilli; Caryophanales; Staphylococcaceae.